This 407-nucleotide ribosomal RNA is filed under the name uncultured bacterium. Its description in RNAcentral is "partial 16S ribosomal RNA". It matches the Rfam family "Bacterial small subunit ribosomal RNA", at positions 30 to 526 of the family's 1533-position model. The record is from RNAcentral.
AUUGAACGCUGGCGGCAGGCCUAACACAUGCAAGUCGAGCGGAGCGGCGGACGGGGGCGUAAUAGUUAGGAAUCUGCCUGGUCGCGGGGGAUAACGAUCGGAAAUGGACGCUAAUACCGCUUCCUCUCAGAUGAGCAUAGGCCGGAUUAGCUAGUUGGUGGGGUAAUGGUUCACCUAGGCCACGAUCCGUAACUGGUCUGAGAGGAUGAUCAGUCACACUGGAACUGAGACACGGUCCAGACUCCUACGGGAGGCAGCAGUGGGGAAUAUUGGACAAUGGGCGAAAGCCUGAUGCAGCCAUGCCGCGUGUGUGAAGAAGGUCUUCGGAUUGUAAAGCACUUUAAGUGGGGAGGCGUUACCGACAGAAUAAGCACCGGCUAACUCUGUGCCAGCAGCCGCGGUAAUUC